UAGGCCAGCUUUCUUCCUUCCCUCUCUAA
This 29-nucleotide non-coding RNA is filed under the name Mus musculus (house mouse). The record is from RNAcentral. Lineage: Eukaryota; Metazoa; Chordata; Mammalia; Rodentia; Muridae.